Non-coding RNA from Xenopus laevis (African clawed frog), 1023 nucleotides. The record is from the annotation of a RefSeq genome assembly. NCBI's taxonomy places the organism in Eukaryota, Metazoa, Chordata, Amphibia, Anura, Pipidae.
UGCAUAGAUAGAGACAUGUCUUAUCCCACUGAUCUACUGCUGCUGCUGCUACUGGGGAUCCUCCUGAUCUUUAUCCAGGGUUCCUAUGGGCAGAUUGUACUGACUCAGUCUCCAGAUUAUGUCUCUGUGUCACCGGGAGAAACUGUCACCAUCACAUGUAAAGCCAGUAGCAGUGUUAGCAUCAAUCUCAACUGGUACCAACAGAAAUCAGGGCAGGCACCAAAGCUGCUGAUCUAUUUGGCAAACAGGCGACACACAGGGACCCCAGAGCGUUUCAGCGGCAGUGGGUCUGGAACAGAUUACUCUCUUACAAUCAGCAGAAUGGAAGCAGAAGAUGCAGCAGAUUAUUACUGUCAGCAGGGUUACAGUUCCCCGUUCACUUUUGGUAAAGGAACCAGGGUAGAGCUUAAACGAAACGAUGCCAAACCGGCAGUAUUCAUCUUCAAACCUUCAGACGAACAGGUUAAGGAAGGAAACCCAACAGCAGUCUGUUUGAUAAACAACUUCUUUCCAAGGGAUUUGACAGUCACGUGGAAGGUUGACAGUCAGGAUGUCAGUUCCUCCGACGUUAAGACCAGUGAUUUUAUGCAGGAAAGUGAUAGCACGUACAGCCAAAGCAGCAUGUUGACACUUACCAAGGACAAGUGGGAUAAAGCUGAUAAAUUUGAGUGUUUAGUUAAACACAAAACAGCACAACUGACACAGAGCUUUAGUAAAUCACAGUGCUCAUAAUAAUAGGGCUUAGGAAGCCUAAUGUAACCCUAUUUUAACUUUUUUUUUUUGUCUUCUCUUGCAAUAUUAAUCUUUCUGUGCCACAAUGUCUUGCAUCACGAUGCAACGCAAUCCUCGAGAACUUAGAGGUUUAAUAUAUGCACAUAAAUGAAACGUUUGUGAUUGUGUUACUCAUGGAUGUCACUUUUUACAAUAGUCCAAUUGUAUGGAAGGCUUUUGGACAUGAUUCGUUUUCUGCUUUUGUCUUGAAAUGUUAAAAAAUAAAUAAAAAAUCAUUUUGCUUCAAAAAUA